AGAGUUUGAUCAUGGCUCAGGACGAACGCUGGCGGCGUGCCUAAUACAUGCAAGUAGAACGCUAAAAGGAGAGCUUGCUCUUCUGGAAGAGUUGCGAACGGGUGAGUAACGCGUAGGUAACCUGCCUGGUAGCGGGGGAUAACUAUUGGAAACGAUAGCUAAUACCGCAUAAUAGAGGAUGACACAUGUUAUCUUUUUGAAAGAAGCAAGUGCUUCACUACCAGAUGGACCUGCGUUGUAUUAGCUAGUUGGUGGGGUAACGGCUCACCAAGGCGACGAUACAUAGCCGACCUGAGAGGGUGAUCGGCCACACUGGGACUGAGACACGGCCCAGACUCCUACGGGAGGCAGCAGUAGGGAAUCUUCGGCAAUGGGGGGAACCCUGACCGAGCAACGCCGCGUGAGUGAAGAAGGUUUUCGGAUCGUAAAGCUCUGUUGUAAGAGAAGAACGUUAGCGGGAGUGGAAAAUCCGCUAAGUGACGGUACCUUACCAGAAAGGGACGGCUAACUACGUGCCAGCCGCCGCGGUAAUAC
This 534-nucleotide ribosomal RNA is filed under the name uncultured bacterium. RNAcentral's name for it is "bacterial SSU rRNA". It matches the Rfam family "Bacterial small subunit ribosomal RNA", at positions 8 to 526 of the family's 1533-position model. The record is from RNAcentral.